This 253-nucleotide ribosomal RNA is filed under the name uncultured bacterium. RNAcentral's name for it is "partial 16S ribosomal RNA". It matches the Rfam family "Bacterial small subunit ribosomal RNA", at positions 524 to 776 of the family's 1533-position model. The record is from RNAcentral.
UACGGAGGGGGCUAGCGUUGUUCGGAAUUACUGGGCGUAAAGCGCGCGUAGGCGGACCUGCAAGUCGGGGGUGAAAGCCCGAGGCUCAACCUCGGAACUGCCUUCGAUACUGCGGGUCUCGAGUCCGGGAGAGGUGAGUGGAAUUCCUAGUGUAGAGGUGAAAUUCGUAGAUAUUAGGAAGAACACCAGUGGCGAAGGCGGCUCACUGGCCCGGUGCUGACGCUGAGGCGCGAAGGCUAGGGGAGCGAACGGG